This 2455-nucleotide long non-coding RNA is filed under the name Theobroma cacao (cacao). RNAcentral's name for it is "long non-coding RNA (TCAC_LNC003403)". The record is from RNAcentral. Lineage: Eukaryota; Viridiplantae; Streptophyta; Magnoliopsida; Malvales; Malvaceae.
UUAUUUUCUAUAAAAAUCAGCCUAUAAACCCCUCAUUUCUCUCCAAAUAUUCGGUCACACCAAGAACAAAGGGAAAAAGGAAGAGAACAAACCCUAGGUGGGGAAUUUGAAGAGAAAAAGUGUGGAAAAUCAAGGAAAAUAAGUGAAAAAGGUAAGAUUUUUCAAUUUAAACUUGAAAUCUAUUUUUCUUAAGCAUUUCUCCUUAUUUUUUAUAAUUAAAUUACAUGUUUUCAUGAUGAAUUCAUGGCUGAUCAAAAUGGGUAUGAAGAGAGAAAGAUGUUGGAUUGAUUUGAUUUUAAGUUAUGUUAGUGUUUUUAGUUAGUUUAGCAUAUUUAGAAGCAAAACAACAAGAAAGAAUCCAUUUUCCCCAUGAAUCUUCAUUGGCUGAAUCUUCCUUGAUAUGUGUGGGAGAUGGAUUGUUAUUAUUUCAAGAGAAAUGGCUUAGAAAAUGAUGAAUAAUGGUGAGAAAAUUAAGUAGGAAAAAUCACGGUGUUAGUGCACUGUAAUAGCCGAAUUUUUUCAUGAAGAAAUGGGAAGGUUUUGAUCUAAAAUUGGUGUUAUUUGAAUAAUGUUUGGUGAAUUGAGGCAUUGGAAAAGAAAUGGAGUAAUUUGAGAUUAAAUUGGACGCGUUAGUAAUUAAUCGGGUGAUAAGACGAAUUUGGCCGGUAUCGAAAUUUAGAUGGUUACUUGUGCAUUUUGCAUUCCUAUCAUGCAUUAGUAGUCUAAAUUAGUUUAAUUUUGAUUUAGUACCAAUGUAGUGAGUUUCUCGAUUUUGUACUGUGUCAAGGUGGUGAGUACUCCGAUAAAGGCAAGGGAAUUGCAUUCGAGGACCAGUAGUCCGAGUACUUCGAAAAUCCGCACUCUAGACAUUAUGAGUAAACUUACUGUCAUUUUAGUUAUCUAGGGUAGUUUUUAGAUGAUUUUAUGAAUUCUAUGGAAAAAAGGGAUUUAAAAUGGUAAAUUUUCAUGUUUUAUGAAUAAAUGUGUUUCAAUGAAAUUAAUUUAUAAAUUGUUUUGAAAUUAAUAAUGAUGUUGAAAAAUAGAGUACACGGAGACUGUUAAUUGUUGCAAUUCGAUUGUUUAAAUUGAUUGGCUUAUGAUAAAUCGGGUAUGAUUGGCUAGUUGGCAAUUGUAUUGAAAUACGAAUUGUUUGGUUGCCUUGAAAGACUGCGAAUUACAAAAAUUGUCAUAUCAUGUUAUUGAAUUUUAUUGUAUGGUGGAUUAUAUAUUAAUUAAUUACUACAGUAGAAGGUUUCUGUGGACUAGCCUUUUAGAGGGGCACGGUAAACCCCAUUAUAUUCUUACCUCGAUCGGAGAGGUGCGUAGGGUAUUUCCUGGGGUUAAGUUUAGGGUUCACUUCACGCUAAACCACCACUUGAGGGUGAACUCAGCCAACGCCAAGGAACGGCUGUAAUGUUCAACGAAAAGUGUGUUUUAUGUGAAAUGUGAAUUUUUAACAGCCUUGGCGAUCUCGGUAGGAUGCCUCGGCCAAGGUGUCCCCAAGAAUGGAUUUUUGGCAUAAGCCUAGUUUUUAUGAGAUUCAUAAGCCUCUUUACGUAUUUUGAAUGAAAUGUGUUCUAAUGUUGUGACCCAGUUUAUGAUGAUUUAUUUUAUUGUCUCCAUGUACUCAACUCUAGAUGUUUAUGAUAAUGUCUAUUUACUCAUUGGGAUUUUAUAAUCUCACCACCCUCCUUUCCAUCCAUUUCAGGCUCAGAAUAGACUAUAGAUAGCUGAUCUCAUCGAGGACUACCGUUGGGUUUGCAUCCUUCAAACUGUAGGUUUAUAGUUCUCUUUACUUUUGUUUAUUCGGGAGGAGCCCACUUGUUAUUAUAAAUUAAAUUUCAUACUCUAGAUAUCUAUACUACUGUAUGUAGGAAUUUAUUUUGCUUUGACGCUGUAAAAAUUAUUUACGCAGUGUUUUAAAAAUAUUGUUUUAUAAGAAAAUCGAAUAUUUUACUUAAUAUUUCUUUUAUUUUCUUAUUAUGUCCAAUUAAUCAUAAUUUCGUUUUAAAUGAAGAUUUUAGACUUUUAAACUCAUUUUGAUUAUGAAUUAUGUGUUUUGUACUUGUAAAUUACAUUUUAGCCGGUUUCGAAUUUUUUGAGAAAAAUGACCAAAAUAUCCCUGUGAGACGAAAAUUAUUAUUUUAUUUGUUUUAAGUUGGAAACAGUUUAAAAUCUUUUAGAACGUGGUAUUUGGCAACAGUUACUCAUAGGGGGAAUGAGAAGUUGAUAUUAAAGCCUUGCGAGGUUCCGCUUGACAUUCGGGAUAAUAAGUGUCGAUCGGGGACGUCGAGGCGGUUGUCACGGGCUCGAGGGGAGUACCGGGUCGUGACACCUAUACUAUAAACAGAUUAAAAUAAAUAGUUGUAGAAUAUAAGGUAACAGUAUAAUGCAAAGAUUCUAUCAAUAUAAAAUAGUUAGUAAUUUCUAGUAUUAUAUGUUUUUUAUAUAUAAA